Molecule: ribosomal RNA, 473 nt
Filed under: Paenibacillus lautus
Lineage: Bacteria; Bacillati; Bacillota; Bacilli; Caryophanales; Paenibacillaceae
Description: partial 16S ribosomal RNA
Rfam family: Bacterial small subunit ribosomal RNA
Source: RNAcentral
GGGCGUAAGCGCGCGCAGGCGGUUCCUUAAGUCUGAUGUUUAAACCCCAGGCUCAACUUCGGAUCGCCCUGGAAACUGGGGGACUUGAGUGGAAAAAAAGAAAAUGGAAUUCCCCCUGUAACGGUGAAAUGGCUAAAUAUGUGGAAGAACCCCCGUGGCGAAAGGCACUCUUUGGGCUGGUACUGACCCUGAAGCACGAAAGCGUGGGGAGCAAACAGGAAUAAAUACCCUGGUAAUCCCCCCCCUAAACCAAGAAUGGUUAGUGGUAAGGGUUUCUAUACCCUUGAUGGCUAAAUUUACACCUUUAGCCUUCCCCCUGGGGAAUACCGGCCCCAGAAUGAAACUCCAAAGAAUUGACGGGGACCCCCCCCAGCCGUGGAAUAUGGGGUUUAAUUCCAAACCACCCCAAAAACCUUACCCAGGCCUGGCCUCCCUCUGACUCCUCUAGAGAUAGAAGCUGCCUUCCGGACACA